Molecule: non-coding RNA, 590 nt
Organism: Paramuricea clavata
Lineage: Eukaryota; Metazoa; Cnidaria; Anthozoa; Malacalcyonacea; Plexauridae
Source: the annotation of a GenBank genome assembly
CCACUGGCCAAUAUUUAUCCACAAUUCUAUGUUAUUAUCCACGAUAAGGCCCAAAAUAUGAUUAAACACCUUCCAAACCAACGAUCAAUGUUGCCCACUGGCAAAUAUUUGUCCACGAUUCUAUGUUAAUAUACACGAUAAAUCCAAAAUCUCUUUAAAACCAACGAUUAAGGUUGCCCUCUGGCAAAUUAUACUUGUCCACAAUAAGAAAAUGUUUACAAGGAACAAAUCAUAUUUCCCAAUUACUCUCCGGCGUAUACAUUGUCCACGAAUACGGGUCGACAGUUUACUUUCGUUUUGAAAUAAACAAUACAAUUUCCACCCAAAAACUUUCGCCAAUUGACCGGUUUCCCGCCUGAGCCCCCAGAUGUCACGGAAUUCUUGAGAAACCGGUCUUGGUCACGUUACAGGACUACUACUCUACGACGUACUUUUAUAAAUUUUAAUAAAUAACGGAAAAAUAUAAACUUUUAUGUUAAGUCAGCCAUCUUGGUUCUUCCCCAAUCAAAAUGUCCUUCCCCCCUGCAGAGCUACACAGCUCCCCCUAGCGUUAGUUUUCAAUUGAAACUAAAGAUUUGUGACAUCGGACA